Biomphalaria pfeifferi is the source of this 212-nucleotide non-coding RNA. Lineage: Eukaryota; Metazoa; Mollusca; Gastropoda; Planorbidae. The record is from the annotation of a GenBank genome assembly.
UUUUUUUUCCCCCUCCAAAUCUUUUGAUGCUACAGCUAACUAAGGAAUUUAAGGGAUUUAAUUACCUAGUAGUAUAACUUUUUAAAAAUUAAAUGUUGCUUACUAUUGUAAUGAUUCCUUUUAGCUCAGUGGAUCAUAAAUUUUAUCUAUUCUUUAUAUAUUAAUCUUGUACUGCAAGUAGGUUAUGUUAAUUGAGUCCUUGAUGCUCUUCG